UUCAAGCGAACAAAAUCUCUAUCAAAAUCUGUUUCCACAAAAUUUUUUGAACAUAGCCAGAGUGUAUUGCUAGUUGGUAACCACAGUGAUCCAUCUGGGUUAGCUCUUUCUAUUGCUAAUGCCCACUUUUACCUUAAGUCUGAAUCCAUUGGAAACCUGCAAGAAAAGUUCAGUCACUGAGUCAAAAAUGUAUAUUACAAUUAUACUCUAGUCCUAGUAUACUGAAUAUGGGUUUAACAAAACAAAGUUUACAUUUAUGUCAACAGCAAAUUAUACGUACAUCAUGCAGCAUGUUGAUAAAAGCCCUUCAGCAUCAUGCAUCUCAACAUGAUUAACAUAAUUAAUGAAGCCCAUGCAGCAUUAAAAGAAAAGAAUAAUAGUACUUACCUGUUAAAUGUUCUCCCUUCCUCCUUCGUGGACUCAUUUCUCCGAUUUUGGCAGUUGAAACCCGCACAAUGAACUGGGAUUUGCAAAAAAUGUGUUCACAUGCGAUGCAGCAGCGACUUGACCUCACCAAGAUGGCGGUGCUCUGCUCCCAUGAGUUAACAUGUGAUGUCUCUUCUAGCGAUAUAACUCAUUGCUUCUACAACCCUCUACUUGAAGCCUAAAUCGUCAGCUCACGGGCGCCGCCAUAUUGGCUGCAGGUAACUCCGCCUAACUGGGACGUUCCAAAUAUGGGGAAAAGAGGCAGGACCGAAUGAAGUCGAUUUUUUGCUCUUUUGUUUUUGUCCACGCCCACGGUACAUGUCGGUCUGCCGGCUAGUCCCUCCAUGCUAACGCCAACUGCUUUAGCCAAGGUCUCCAGCAAGGCAACGCAGUGGUGGACUAAACUUUACAUCAUGAAUCUGUAUCGCCUACAAGGAAGAGCAGCUUUUGCUUAAUAGGAGAGAUCAGGAGUCUGGAAGUGGUUGACAGGCCGAAACAGGAUGUCCAGCAGCAGCACGGUGGACUGAAUUUUCAUUAAUUUAUUUUUUAUUAAAAAUAUCUUUCAGUGGGUUGAAAUGUACUCUUUAGGAUAAUUUAUUAGGUACUCUGUUUUUUGAAAAUAAAAACAUAUUGUACAGACCUGACCGUGACUCCUAUUUCCUCUUGUUUUACUUGCAUAAUUAAACAUCAAUGUGAAUAAACAUAAGAUUGGUCGCUCAGCUGUUUCCUUUUUUCAUUGAAUCACACGCUUCAGCAGGAGUCGUCCACAGAUUUCAUAUUUAAACAUUUGUCUGCCUUAAAUUUUGGAUGGUGUUGGUUUCCACUCAUUGCGAAAAGACGAAGGCCUAGAGAGGAACAUACGAGACAAAUACAUAAAAUCAAAACCACAAAACAAAAAGCAAAACAUAAAAACAAUUAAAA
Non-coding RNA from Oryzias latipes (Japanese medaka), 1347 nucleotides. The record is from RefSeq and is a predicted model, not a curated record. NCBI's taxonomy places the organism in Eukaryota, Metazoa, Chordata, Actinopteri, Beloniformes, Adrianichthyidae.